This is an RNA transcript of Vitis vinifera (wine grape), 1544 nucleotides long. It is a transcript of the gene named peptidyl-prolyl cis-trans isomerase FKBP19, chloroplastic, with no coding region annotated. The record is from RefSeq and is a predicted model, not a curated record. The transcript has 11 exons. Lineage: Eukaryota; Viridiplantae; Streptophyta; Magnoliopsida; Vitales; Vitaceae.
UCAAAUGAGACAAUUGCUAGAUAGAAAGAAAUGGACUGAAUUUGACCAAAUUUUCACUUUCGAUCUUCAUUUUUAGAUAUGAACAAAGGGGACUACGGUAAGGUUACUAGCUCAAACUUUCCAUACGCAGACCAAAUGGAGCCUCAAUUCUAAUUGAUCCCAAUCUUCGGUGUCCACGUGGCAUAAUAUCAUUCGGCCACGGCACCCUAUAAAGAGUAGCUGACGCAAAGAGAAGUUUCCAGUGCGCCACAAGUUGGGGCCGUUAUCUUCCUGCGAAAGCCCUCCUCACUCUCUCUCUUACUCCGAUAGUGGUGUUGUGGUUGGAAAUCAAAUGGCGUCGAUCUCAGCUAUAGAAGGAUUUCUUCCAAAUUCUCUCGCAAUAUCUCUUGGAAAGGCCUCCAAAUCGAGAUGGCACAUGAAAAUACCGCGUAGCAAUGGUGGUUCUUCUCAGGAACUGCCGAGGUUUUCCUAUUCGAUCGAUGUAAGUGGUGGCAUGGGCUGUAGGCCAGUCUUUGGCCGAAGAGAAGCUGCCAUGUUAUCCAUUGGAUUAUUAGCGGGAGCCAUAUGGAAUGCUUCUGAGAAUGAAGUGGCGGUGGCAUCUGAAUUCACUGACAUGCCAGCGCUCAGGGGGAAGGAUUAUGGAAAGACGAAGAUGCGGUUUCCAGACUACACAGAAACAGCAUCAGGCCUUCAGUAUAAGGACUUGCGAGUGGGAAGUGGCCCUUCACCAAAGGUGGGGGAGACAGUAGUGGUUGAUUGGGAUGGUUACACCAUAGGAUAUUAUGGGCGCAUAUUUGAAGCUCGUAACAAGACAAAGGGUGGUUCCUUUCAGGGCGAUGACAAAGACUUUUUUAAAUUUAGAGUAGGAUCACAGCAGGUAAUACCAGCUUUUGAGGAAGCUGUUUCCGGCAUGUCCCUGGGCAGUAUCAGAAGGAUCAUAGUGCCUCCUGAACUGGGAUACCCCGAGAAUGACUUCAACAAGAGUGGACCAAGACCAACAACAUUUUCGGGUCAACGAGCCUUGGAUUUUGUGCUGAGGAACCAAGGGCUGAUAGACAAGACCCUUUUGUUCGAUAUUGAGCUUCUCAAGAUCAUACCGAACUGAUCGAAUGCCAGUUCCAUUCCAUCAUGCAUUAGCAAACACCACCCUGUAAGUAUUGAGGAGUUCAAAGAUCAUAAGCUGUCAAGAGAGCCAUUUAGUGAACACUAUCAUCUUCGAGAACAUGGAGGAGUAUUUCAUGUAAUGGGGAGUUUAGUUAUUCCCAGGGGCAAUACGGCAUCGCAAACAGCAUGUUGGUUUUGGUGCAAUUGGGUCCUUGCCAACCAAUAAAAAAGAUGGAUGGAUAAAACAGAGGUCAGACUCUACUAGUCAAUGUUGUUCAAAAUAUUAUAGUUUUUUGUUUCAUCCAGUUAUCUCACUACUAAUAUGCAUGCAUUGUAGUUAGAUAUAUGGCAAAAGAUUUUAUGAAGUUUUAUCAUCCAUCCCGACAAUUAAUCAACAUUAUGGCACUUCAUUUUUUACAGAAUAAUAUUGCUUUCAUGGA